RNAcentral lists this ribosomal RNA (1392 nucleotides) under uncultured bacterium. RNAcentral's name for it is "16S ribosomal RNA". It matches the Rfam family "Bacterial small subunit ribosomal RNA". The record is from RNAcentral.
AGGGUUUGAUCCUGGCUCAGAUUGAACGCUGGCGGCAGGCUUAACACAUGCAAGUCGAGCGGAAACGAUGAUAGCUUGCUAUCAGGCGUCGAGCGGCGGACGGGUGAGUAACGCGUAGGAACCUACCUAUUAGUUUGGGAUAGCCAUUGGAAACGAUGAUUAAUACCGGAUACGCCCUACGGGGGAAAGGGGGCUUCGGCUCUCGCUAAUAGAUGGGCCUGCGUGAGAUUAGCUAGUUGGUGAGGUAAUGGCUCACCAAGGCAACGAUCUCUAGCUGGUUUGAGAGGAUGAUCAGCCACACUGGGACUGAGACACGGCCCAGACUCCUACGGGAGGCAGCAGUGGGGAAUAUUGCACAAUGGGCGCAAGCCUGAUGCAGCCAUGCCGCGUGUGUGAAGAAGGCUCUAGGGUUGUAAAGCACUUUCAGCAGUGAGGAAAGGUUAGUAGUUAAUACCUGCUAGCUGUGACGUUAACUGCAGAAGAAGGACCGGCUAACUCCGUGCCAGCAGCCGCGGUAAUACGGAGGGUCCGAGCGUUAAUCGGAAUUACUGGGCGUAAAGCGUACGUAGGUGGUUUGUUAAGUUGGAUGUGAAAGCCCCGGGCUCAACCUGGGAACUGCAUCCAAAACUGGCAGACUAGAGUAUGGUAGAGGUAAGUGGAAUUUCCUGUGUAGCGGUGAAAUGCGUAGAGAUGGGAAGGAACACCAGUGGCGAAGGCGACUUACUGGACUAAUACUGACACUGAGGUACGAAAGCGUGGGUAGCAAACAGGAUUAGAUACCCUGGUAGUCCACGCCGUAAACGAUGUCAACUAGCUGUCUGUGGACUUGAUCCGUGGGUAGCGCAGCUAACGCACUAAGUUGACCGCCUGGGGAGUACGGCCGCAAGGUUAAAACUCAAAUGAAUUGACGGGGGCCCGCACAAGCGGUGGAGCAUGUGGUUUAAUUCGAUGCAACGCGAAGAACCUUACCAUCCCUUGACAUCCAGAGAACUUUCUAGAGAUAGAUUGGUGCCUUCGGGAACUCUGAGACAGGUGCUGCAUGGCUGUCGUCAGCUCGUGUUGUGAAAUGUUGGGUUAAGUCCCGCAACGAGCGCAACCCCUAUCCUUAUUUGCCAGCGAGUAAUGUCGGGAACUUUAAGGAGACUGCCGGUGAUAAACCGGAGGAAGGUGGGGACGACGUCAAGUCAUCAUGGCCCUUACGGGAUGGGCUACACACGUGCUACAAUGGCAGAUACAGAGGGCAGCGAGACCGCGAGGUGGAGCGAAUCCCACAAAGUCUGUCGUAGUCCGGAUUGGAGUCUGCAACUCGACUCCAUGAAGUCGGAAUCGCUAGUAAUNGUGGAUCAGAAUGCCACGGUGAAUACNUUCCCGGGCCUUGUNNANACCGCCCGU